This 565-nucleotide ribosomal RNA is filed under the name uncultured Glomeromycotina. RNAcentral describes it as "SSU rRNA". It matches the Rfam family "Eukaryotic small subunit ribosomal RNA", at positions 548 to 1114 of the family's 1831-position model. Lineage: Eukaryota; Fungi; Glomeromycota. The record is from RNAcentral.
UUGGAGGGCAAGUCUGGUGCCAGCAGCCACGGUAAUUCCAGCUACAAUAGCGUAUAUUAAAGUUGUUGCAGUUAAAAAGCUCGUAGUUGAAUUUCGGGGUUAGUAGGUUGGUCAUGCCUCUGGUAUGUACUGGUCUCACUGGUUCCUCCUUCCUGAUGAGCCGUAAUGCCAUUAAUUUGGUGUUGCGGGGAAUUUGGACUGUUACUUUGAAAAAAUUAGAGUGUUUAAAGCAAGCUAACGCUUGAAUACAUUAGCAUGGAAUAAUGAAAUAGGACGUUCGAUCCUAUUUUGUUGGUUUCUAGGAUUGACGUAAUGAUUAAUAGGGAUAGUUGGGGGCAUUAGUAUUCAAUUGUCAGAGGUGGAAUUCUUGGAUUUAUUGAAGACUAACUACUGCGAAAGCAUUUGCCAAGGAUGUUUUCAUUAAUCAAGAACGAAAGUUAGGGGAUCGAAGACGAUCAGAUACCGUCGUAGUCUUAACCAUAAACUAUGCCGACUAGGGAUCGGAUGAUGUUAAUUUUUUAAUGACUCAUUCGGCGCCUUACGGGAAACCAAAGUGUUUGGGUUC